AAUACAGUUUCAACAUAGAGAUAACAAUCGUGGAUAUAUCAGGAUCUUGUCUUGUAGCCCCCAAAUGUAAAUAUACAGUGGAUCUCCUGGGUUUUGUCCCGCAGACUAACUCAUUGUGCGCGGGGAUCUAUCGAAAUCUUGAUUCAUAGUCCUAAAUGUAAAUACCCAGUACUGGGGGCUACCUGGUGCAUUCCUGUAGUUCCAUAUAAUUGUGUAGGGGGAUCUAUCGGAAUCCCACAUCCG
Molecule: long non-coding RNA, 243 nt
Filed under: Nicotiana benthamiana
Lineage: Eukaryota; Viridiplantae; Streptophyta; Magnoliopsida; Solanales; Solanaceae
Description: long non-coding RNA (NBEN_LNC040382)
Source: RNAcentral